RNAcentral lists this ribosomal RNA (376 nucleotides) under uncultured bacterium. RNAcentral describes it as "bacterial SSU rRNA". It matches the Rfam family "Bacterial small subunit ribosomal RNA", at positions 523 to 898 of the family's 1533-position model. The record is from RNAcentral.
ACACGUAGGGGGCGAGCGUUGUCCGGAAUUACUGGGCGUAAAGGGCGUGUAGGCGGUUUAAUAAGUUAGAGGUGAAAGCCCUUGGCUUAACUAAGGGAUAGCCUCUAAAACUGUUAGGCUUGAGAGCAGGAGAGGGAAGCGGAAUUCCUGGUGUAGCGGUGAAAUGCGUGGAUAUCAGGAGGAACACUUGUGGCGAAGGCGACUUCCUGGCCUGCCACUGACGCUGAGGCGCGAAAGCGUGGGUAGCAAACAGGAUUAGAUACCCUGGUAGUCCACGCCGUAAACGAUGAGUGCUUGGUGUUGGGGGUUUAACUCCCUCGGUGCCGUAGUUAACGCGUUAAGCACUCCGCCUGGGGAAUACGGUCGCAAGACUGAA